RNAcentral lists this ribosomal RNA (253 nucleotides) under uncultured bacterium. RNAcentral describes it as "partial 16S ribosomal RNA". It matches the Rfam family "Bacterial small subunit ribosomal RNA", at positions 524 to 776 of the family's 1533-position model. The record is from RNAcentral.
UACGUAGGGUGCAAGCGUUAAUCGGAAUUACUGGGCGUAAAGCGUGCGCAGGCGGUUUUGUAAGCCAGAUGUGAAAUCCCCGGGCUUAACCUGGGAAUGGCAUUUGGGACUGCAAGGCUGGAGUAUGGCAGAGGGGACUAGAAUUCCUGGUGUAGCAGUGAAAUGCGUAGAUAUCAGGAGGAAUACCGAUGGCGAAGGCAGGUCCCUGGGCCAAUACUGACGCUCAUGCACGAAAGCGUGGGGAGCAAACAGG